CGAAAGCCUGACGGAGCAAUACCGCGUGAGGGAAGAAGGCUCUUGGGUCGUAAACCUCUUUUCUCAGGGAAGAAACCUGACGGUACCUGAGGAAUAAGCAUCGGCUAACUCCGUGCCAGCAGCCGCGGUAAGACGGAGGAUGCAAGCGUUAUCCGGAAUUAUUGGGCGUAAAGCGUCCGCAGGUGGUUUAUCAAGUCUGCUUUCAAAGCGCGAGGCUUAACCUUGUAAAGGGAGUGGAAACUGAGAGACUAGAGUUCGGUAGGGGUAGAGGGAAUUCCAGGUGUAGCGGUGAAAUGCGUAGAUAUCUGGAAGAACACCAGUGGCGAAAGCGCUCUACUGGGCCUGAACUGACACUGAGGGACGAAAGCUAGGGGAGCG
Molecule: ribosomal RNA, 378 nt
Filed under: Cyanobium sp. AECC1346
Lineage: Bacteria; Bacillati; Cyanobacteriota; Cyanophyceae; Synechococcales; Prochlorococcaceae
Also listed under: 1 other name
Description: bacterial SSU rRNA
Rfam family: Bacterial small subunit ribosomal RNA
Source: RNAcentral